Molecule: long non-coding RNA, 1470 nt
Organism: Papaver somniferum (opium poppy)
Lineage: Eukaryota; Viridiplantae; Streptophyta; Magnoliopsida; Ranunculales; Papaveraceae
Exons: 3
Source: RefSeq, a predicted model, not a curated record
CCUUCGUCUUUUUUUUUUUCCCGAGAGAACAAAAGAGAAUGAAAUCAAUAAAGGAUGAUCAUGUUACCACCAUUAAUAGAUUACCCUCUCCUACAAAAUGAAUUGUGUUGAGUUCGUCUUUCAUUAUGUUCGUCUUCCGAAUAAGCUCCCUCUCUCUCUCAGUUUUUGAAUCUUGCGAUAGUUGGGAAAUUCAAUGAUUUCAAGUGACAAUCCGAUCUUCAAAAUCCGUAUAUUUAUCCAGUGAAAUCGAGACAUUUUGCAUUGAAUUGGGCAAUCCUUGAUAGGACACCAAUUGACAUAGGUUCAAAGUUCUGUGUUUAUGCCAAGGAAAUUCUCCCAUGGAUAGCAAUGCCGCUAUAAGUGGCUUAUGUUGCUGAUUUUAAAAAUCCUAAUACGAAGCUCAGGGCAUCUUUUGGUUUCGGCAGUGGAACCCUUCAAGGUCACUUGUUGGUUAGUCUUCCUUUACUCAUAGUUAGUUAGAGCAUAUGAUAGACUUACUUAGAACAAUUGAACUAGACAUAGGAUCUUUGGUUGCUAACCUAACACCUCAGUUAAGGAGGAUCCUUUUAGUACCUUGGUUAACCCUAUUAGUCACUGUAAUCAGGAUUUGUGUUGUUUUGGUAUAUGAAUUAUUAGAUUUGGGACACUAUAUUGCCCAUAUUUUUACCCCCAUUAUUCGGCAAUGUGUUUGAAUAAAGGAGUGUGUCGUGGAGAUGGAUGUCUACUGCAGCCCGCUUAAUUAACUUUGAAAUUGAAUGAGUAAUUUCAGUUUUUGUGGAGAAGGUGUUGAAGAUUUUUUACCAACCUCAUGCAAUCUUUUGUACUCGUCGAGUCAAUCUCUGCUCUGCCACUAUUGCCAGUAUGGGAUCGGUCGUCUAUUUAUUGUCAUACAUAAGUUGUUCUUACAGUUGCUUUCAGCCCUGAUGGCAGACAACUAGCGAGUGGCUCUGGUGAUACUACUGGGCGGUUAUGGGAUCUUACUCUCAGACCCCCAUGCACACUUGUACAGGUGUUGUAUUUGAGCUUUUAUUAGGGAUGGUUGUUUAGUAAAUGGUUGUUUAGUAACUAGUUGAUUCUCGGCAUCUAUCCGCGUUAGAUAAAUUAUGGUGACUUUUUUGCUAUUUCAUUGCGAUCAAACGGUGGUCUCUAUUAGUGGACUUUUCUAUGCAUCACACACUGGAUAGAUUAACUCCCAACAGUUUCGUAAGUAAUUUCAGGUGCAGUUAUAGUUUACAAUCUAUGUUCAGUUUUAGUUUCUUCUUGUCCGAAGUUUGAAGGCUUUUCAGAUGAUGGCCAGGAGGAGAAAUCUUUGUAGCUUCAUCCACUAUCUUUUACCAUGCAGAAUCUUCAAUUGAGCAUUUAGAUCUCAAAUUGUUUUUUUUUCCGUGUGUAUUGUUGGUUUGUUGUCUUGCAAUCACUCAAAGAACUGCAGAUUAAGAUAAAGUAUGGUUUUCUCGAGUUCUUUUGCUU